AUAUGAGAAUAACAUAUUCUGCUUAAAAUGUGCAUGCUCCCGCGAAGGAGAGGGGUCGAAGUAAUGUGUGUGCGCGGGGUAGUUUUACUAAGUAGGCGACGUGGUUAGAGAAUCGUGCAUGCUGCGGACAGUAGUAUCUUUGGAAGAUUUCUAUCUCCAGCUCGC
Molecule: non-coding RNA, 165 nt
Organism: Glossina morsitans morsitans
Lineage: Eukaryota; Metazoa; Arthropoda; Insecta; Diptera; Glossinidae
Source: Rfam